UACAGAGGUCUCAAGCGUUGUUCGGAUUCAUUGGGCGUAAAGGGUGCGUAGGCGGCGCGGUAAGUCGGGUGUGAAAUCUCGGAGCUUAACUCCGAAACUGCAUUCGAUACUGCCGUGCUUGAGGACUGGAGAGGAGACUGGAAUUUACGGUGUAGCGGUGAAAUGCGUAGAUAUCAGGAGGAACACCGGUGGUGUAGACGGCUUUCUGGACCGACACUGACGCUGAGACACGAAAGCGUGGGUAGCAAACAGG
Molecule: ribosomal RNA, 253 nt
Filed under: uncultured bacterium
Lineage: Bacteria
Description: partial 16S ribosomal RNA
Rfam family: Bacterial small subunit ribosomal RNA
Source: RNAcentral